GACGAACGCUGGCGGCGUGCCUAACACAUGCAAGUCGAGCGGAGACAUGGAAGUAGCAAUACGGAAAUGUUUUAGCGGCGGACGGGUGAGUAACGCGUGAGUAACCUGUCCUCAACAGGGGGAUAACGAGCCGAAAGGCUCACUAAUACCGCAUAAGACCACGGAGUCACAUGGCUUUGAGGUCAAAGGAGUAAUCCGGUUGAGGGUGGACUCGCGUCUGAUUAGCUAGUUGGUGGGGUAACGGCCUACCAAGGCGACGAUCAGUAGCCGACCUGAGAGGGUGAUCGGCCACAUUGGAACUGAGACACGGUCCAAACUCCUACGGGAGGCAGCAGUGGGGAAUAUUGGGCAACGGACGAAAGUCUGACCCAGCAACGCCGCGUGAAGGAAGAAGGUUUUCGGAUCGUAAACUUCUAUCCUUGGUGAAAUAAAAGAUGGUAGCCAAGAAGGAAGCCCCGGCUAACUACGUG
RNAcentral lists this ribosomal RNA (470 nucleotides) under uncultured bacterium. Its description in RNAcentral is "bacterial SSU rRNA". It matches the Rfam family "Bacterial small subunit ribosomal RNA", at positions 28 to 507 of the family's 1533-position model. The record is from RNAcentral.